RNAcentral lists this ribosomal RNA (115 nucleotides) under Pectobacterium versatile. The record is from RNAcentral. Lineage: Bacteria; Pseudomonadati; Pseudomonadota; Gammaproteobacteria; Enterobacterales; Pectobacteriaceae.
CCUGGCGGCGAUAGCGCGGUGGUCCCACCUGACCCCAUGCCGAACUCAGAAGUGAAACGCCGUAGCGCCGAUGGUAGUGUGGGGUUUCCCCAUGUGAGGUAGGGAACUGCCAGGC